UAUCAAUGUGACAAGUGUGGCAAG
Molecule: non-coding RNA, 24 nt
Filed under: Cricetulus griseus (Chinese hamster)
Lineage: Eukaryota; Metazoa; Chordata; Mammalia; Rodentia; Cricetidae
Source: RNAcentral